Aedes albopictus (Asian tiger mosquito) is the source of this 1317-nucleotide long non-coding RNA. RefSeq lists it as uncharacterized. Lineage: Eukaryota; Metazoa; Arthropoda; Insecta; Diptera; Culicidae. The record is from RefSeq and is a predicted model, not a curated record. The transcript is spliced from 3 exons.
UAACCGUUCGGUUCCAAUUUGUUCUUGUUGGCUUCGCCACAAGCAAGGUUUUUAAAUAUCCAUCCAAAUUAAAACGCGUGACACUCAUAAUAGACAUGUCGGAAUGAAUGUUCACCUUUCACUAAGUACCAAGUAUGACAACAACCCGAUUCGAGCAGUUUGAGUUUAAGGGAAAAAGAUGUCACAGCCCUGUUAUAUUUAUGGCCGCUCAUAGAUGGUGCCACUAUACACAGGGUGGACAAACAUAAGCAUAACGAGAAUGACAUAUUAAAAAAAAUAUAGUUAUGUGAAACGGCAUUGCUUAUAAAAGCCGCCUGAUGUCAUAUGCCCGUUCUUCUUGUAAUCGUGAUCCUCCCACGGAAUUGUAGUGCGCGCGUGUUUAAUCGCUAAUAUUUGAGGAUCCGUACCGUCGUUGAAAAGUUUAUGUUAGUUAUAUUAGUAAACUAAAAGAAGAAUUAAAAGUGUUAGUAAAAUUAGUAAUUGUAUGCAUCAUUAUAAGUGUUAGUGUGUUAAAAUCACGUUAGUCAACACACACACAAACACAUGGAAAACGACGAAGAUAAAUAAGUUAAAAAUGUUAUUAGAAAAAGGUAAAUAUCUAUCUAAAACUAAGUGCAAUAUUGAGGUUAGGUACAGUGGCGUUAUCAAGUGCUAAUCUUUGGUGGUAAGGUCCGUGAAAGGGACCUUUUUCUUUUGUACUCUUUUCUGAGUUUUAACUAGAAUACCGCUUCGGAAGAGAGGCUCUCCGAAGACCGAGCAAGCUUCUCACGGAACCAUUACCACUUCCGAUCCGAUGUUCAUCGUGGUAGUCUCGCUCGGUGGUCUACCCGACGCCAUAGUACGAAACCAGCCAUCUAGCUAUCCGAAGGUUAGCCAACAACCGCCAUCUUCCUGAACGAAAGUACCGGUAGUCGAAGCCAGGCUUCCGGUGACCUCUACCGCCUACCGGCGAAGUAAUCAUCAGUCGUCAUGCUGAGUUAACGUACAGGUAGACUGCACCAGGUUUCCGGUGACCUCUACCGCCUACCACAAAGCCGCUUCUACCAGCCAUCCCAAAGUCGACCACCAUCCUAAGAUCCGGAUCAACAGUAAGAAACCAAAGCCAGCACGUAUGUACCUAAAGUGACGUCACAAUAAACUUUUGUAAAAUGCUAAAAACCUCCAUGUUAGUUCAGGAUCGAUUAGCAAGAGCAACUCAGGGUUAUAAAGCUUUUUCACCAUUUCGAACUUGAUUCGUUUCUCCCGGGUCCAUAAAGGGACCACCAUGCCUCGCCUUGGGUGGAUCAUACUAUUAACUACCCCCCCCCCCCCCCCCCU